CAGUAGCCGCGGUAAUACGAAGGGGGCUAGCGUUGUUCGGAUUUACUGGGCGUAAAGGGUGCGUAGGCGGAUUGUUAAGUCAGGGGUGAAAUCCCGAGGCUCAACCUCGGAACUGCCUUUGAUACUGGCGAUCUUGAGUCCGGGAGAGGUGAGUGGAACUGCGAGUGUAGAGGUGAAAUUCGUAGAUAUUCGCAAGAACACCGGUGGCGAAGGCGGCUCACUGGCCCGGAACUGACGCUGAGGCUCGAAAGCGUGGGGAGCAAACAGGAUUAGAUACCCCCGUAGUCCCUGUCUCUUAUAC
Molecule: ribosomal RNA, 301 nt
Filed under: uncultured bacterium
Lineage: Bacteria
Description: partial 16S ribosomal RNA
Rfam family: Bacterial small subunit ribosomal RNA
Source: RNAcentral